RNAcentral lists this non-coding RNA (23 nucleotides) under Gossypium hirsutum (cotton). The record is from RNAcentral. Lineage: Eukaryota; Viridiplantae; Streptophyta; Magnoliopsida; Malvales; Malvaceae.
AGAAAAGGCUUGAUGACUUAGAU